GGGAGGCUGAGGCAGGAGGAUCACUGUGAGUUGGAGACCAGCCUGGGCUACAAAGUGAGCUCAAGGCCAGCUUGAAAUGCAUAUUGAGGCCCUGUCUUGAAAA
Long non-coding RNA from Octodon degus (degu), 103 nucleotides. RefSeq lists it as uncharacterized. The record is from RefSeq and is a predicted model, not a curated record. NCBI's taxonomy places the organism in Eukaryota, Metazoa, Chordata, Mammalia, Rodentia, Octodontidae. The transcript has 2 exons.